GAGAAAAGAGGCUUUAAUUGUUGCCUCACACCAAGUGUUAUAGAGGUUAAAACAUUCGAGUCGAAUUCACAAACUACAUAUAACAUUUAGAGCACAACCAAUAUUACAUUGCUUGCCACAGCCAUGGCUUAAGUGGGGAUGUUUCACCACACAAAAUGCAACGUGUAGAUGGCUCGCUACAAGGAAACCUGGUGUAAAGGUAUAACAAUAUGCAACUUCAAAAAUACAAGAACCACACAACUGCUUAAUUUACAGAAGCUGACAUUCUUCCAAUAAACCUAUUGAUAGCAUCAAUCUAUGGCUAUUCUGACAAGCCUACCUCAGUUAUAUCCUUUAUGAGGAGCAUCACGUCACAGGUUUAAAGGAGGCUUCAACUCUUUUCUUGCAGUAGAAAUGGCAGGGUGCCGCAGUUCACUCCUCUGCUCCUUCUAUAAACAGGAGCAAUGUACAAGAAUGGGAGAUGAUUAUAGAAAACAAAAAUGAUUUCCCACUCAUUUAAGCCACAAAAAGAUGCGAAAUGUAACAAAUGAAUGGAAUCUAUUAUACAACUGACAACUUCGAUAAAUAAAUUUGACCUUAUAUAUAUAUAUAUAUAUAUAAGGUCAAAUUUAUUUAUCGAAGUUGUCAGUUGUAUAAUAGAUUCCAUUCAUUUGUUACAUUUCGCAUCUUUUUGUGGCUUAAAUGAGUGGGAAAUCAUUUUUGUUUUCUAUAAUCAUCUCCCAUUCUUGUACAUUGCUCCUGUUUAUAGAAGGAGCAGAGGAGUGAACUGCGGCACCCUGCCAUUUCUACUGCAAGAAAAGAGUUGAAGCCUCCUUUAAACCUGUGACGUGAUGCUCCUCAUAAAGGAUAUAACUGAGGUAGGCUUGUCAGAAUAGCCAUAGAUUGAUGCUAUCAAUAGGUUUAUUGGAAGAAUGUCAGCUUCUGUAAAUUAAGCAGUUGUGUGGUUCUUGUAUUUUUGAAGUUGCAUAUUGUUAUACCUUUACACCAGGUUUCCUUGUAGCGAGCCAUCUACACGUUGCAUUUUGUGUGGUGAAACAUCCCCACUUAAGCCAUGGCUGUGGCAAGCAAUGUAAUAUUGGUUGUGCUCUAAAUGUUAUAUGUAGUUUGUGAAUUCGACUCGAAUGUUUUAACCUCUAUAACACUUGGUGUGAGGCAACAAUUAAAGCCUCUUUUCUC
This 1176-nucleotide unclassified non-coding RNA is filed under the name Hevea brasiliensis (rubber tree). Lineage: Eukaryota; Viridiplantae; Streptophyta; Magnoliopsida; Malpighiales; Euphorbiaceae. The record is from RNAcentral.